GAUGAAGAACGUAGCGAAAUGCGAUAAGUAAUGCGAAUUGCAGAAUUUCCGUGAGUCAUCGAAUCUUUGAACGCACAUUGCGCCCGCUAGUAUUCUGGCGGGCAUGCCUGUUCGAGCGUCAUUUCAACCAUCAAGCCCUGUUUAGGCUUGUGUUGGGGCCCUGCGGUUGCCGCAGCCCCCUAAAUGCAGUGGCGGGCUCGUUGUCACUCCGAGCGCAGUAGCGUAUCUCGCUCUGGGCGUGGCGGCGGGUGCUAGCCGUGAAACGCCCACUAAGGUUGACCUCGGAUCAGGUAGGAAUACCCGCUGAACUUAAGCAUAUCAAUAAGCGGAGGA
RNAcentral lists this unclassified non-coding RNA (333 nucleotides) under soil metagenome. RNAcentral's name for it is "partial contains 5.8S ribosomal RNA, internal transcribed spacer 2, and large subunit ribosomal RNA". The stretch from base 1 to 121 matches the Rfam family "5.8S ribosomal RNA", at positions 35 to 154 of the family's 154-position model. The record is from RNAcentral.